AGCAAAAAGAAGAACCUUGCCAAAUCUUGACAUCCUUUGACCACUCUAGAGAUAGAGUUUUCCCCUUCGGGGGACAAAGUGACAGGUGGUGCAUGGUUGUCGUCAGCUCGUGUCGUGAGAUGUUGGGUUAAGUCCCGCAACGAGCGCAACCCUUAAACUUAGUUGCCAGCAUUUAGUUGGGCACUCUAGGUUGACUGCCGGUGACAAACCGGAGGAAGGUGGGGAUGACGUCAAAUCAUCAUGCCCCUUAUGAUUUGGGCUACACACGUGCUACAAUGGACAAUACAAAGGGCAGCUAAACCGCGAGGUCAUGCAAAUCCCAUAAAGUUGUUCUCAGUUCGGAUUGUAGUCUGCAACUCGACUACAUGAAGCUGGAAUCGCUAGUAAUCGUAGAUCAGCAUGCUACGGUGAAUACGUUCCCGGGUCUUGUACACACCGCCCGUCACACCACGAGAGUUUGUAACACCCGAAGCCGGUGGAGUAACCAUUUAUGGAGCUAGCCGUCGAAAGGUGAACAAAGUU
Molecule: ribosomal RNA, 522 nt
Filed under: Staphylococcus equorum
Lineage: Bacteria; Bacillati; Bacillota; Bacilli; Caryophanales; Staphylococcaceae
Description: bacterial SSU rRNA
Rfam family: Bacterial small subunit ribosomal RNA
Source: RNAcentral